This 253-nucleotide ribosomal RNA is filed under the name uncultured bacterium. Its description in RNAcentral is "partial 16S ribosomal RNA". It matches the Rfam family "Bacterial small subunit ribosomal RNA", at positions 524 to 776 of the family's 1533-position model. The record is from RNAcentral.
UACAGAGGGUGCGAGCGUUAAUCGGAAUUACUGGGCGUAAAGCGUGCGUAGACGGUAGCGUAAGUCAGAUGUGAAAGCCCCGGGCUCAACCUGGGAAUUGCAUUUGAGACUGCUCUGCUCGGGUGCGGAAGAGGGAAGCGGAAUUUCCGGUGUAGCGGUGAAAUGCGUAGAUAUCGGAAGGAACACCUGUGGCGAAAGCGGCUCACUGGACCAUAACUGACGCUGAUGCACGAAAGCUGGGGGAGCAACCAGG